This 267-nucleotide signal recognition particle RNA is filed under the name Bacillota bacterium. RNAcentral's name for it is "signal recognition particle sRNA large type". It matches the Rfam family "Bacterial large signal recognition particle RNA". Rfam says of the family: The signal recognition particle (SRP) is a universally conserved ribonucleoprotein involved in the co-translational targeting of proteins to membranes. Archaeal SRP consists of a 7S RNA and homologues of the eukaryotic SRP19 and SRP54 proteins. The record is from RNAcentral. Lineage: Bacteria; Bacillati; Bacillota.
UCGUGCUAGACGGGGAGGUAGCGGUGCCCUGUAACCCGCAAUCCGCUAUAGCGGGGUCAAUUACCUACUUGAGGAUGCAGCUUGUGAAGUCUGCCUGGUGUAAGGGGCGUUGAUGACCGGGUCUUGCGCGACGUGAGUUUUCGAACCGUGUCAGGUCCUGGCGGAAGCAGCACUAAGGAAUGCCUUACGGGUGCCGCGAGGGUGCCUAGUCUGAGCUACCUGCACCGGUUACGUUCGGAAGCUGCUAUCCAAAAGUAGGGUGCACGG